CCUACGGGAGGCUGCAGUGGGGAAUAUUGCACAAUGGGGGCAACACUGAUGCAGCAACGCAGCGUGAAGGAAGACGGUCUUCGGAUUGUAAACUUCUAUCAAUAGGGAAGAAAGAAAUGACGGUACCUAAGUAUGAAGCGUCUGCUAACUACGUGCCAGCAGCCGCGGUAAUACGUAGGGGGCAAGCGUUAGCCGGAAUUACUGGGUGUAAAGGGAGAGUAGGCGGCAAGGUAAGCGAUACGUGAAAGCCCUAAGCUUAACUUAAGGAUGGCAUAACGAACUAGCUAGCUAGAGUACAGGGAAGGAAAGCGGAAUUCCUAGUGUAGCGGUGAAAUGCUUAGAUAUUAGGAAGAACACCAGUGGCGAAGGCGGCUUUCUGGACUGAAACUGACGCUGAGGCUCGAAAGCGUGGGGAGCGAACAGGAUUAGAUACCCUAGUAGUC
Molecule: ribosomal RNA, 443 nt
Filed under: uncultured bacterium
Lineage: Bacteria
Description: partial 16S ribosomal RNA
Rfam family: Bacterial small subunit ribosomal RNA
Source: RNAcentral